RNAcentral lists this long non-coding RNA (213 nucleotides) under Vigna radiata. RNAcentral describes it as "long non-coding RNA (VRAD_LNC004878)". The record is from RNAcentral. Lineage: Eukaryota; Viridiplantae; Streptophyta; Magnoliopsida; Fabales; Fabaceae.
GGAAGCACGUGCAAAACGGUCGACGGUUGGAGGCCAGGUUCAGAGUUAGUUGAAGGAUACUCCAGAAGCUUCAGAGUUUGUUUUCAGUUCUUUCCCUUUUUCCCCUUUUCUUUUCUUUUUCGUUCUUUGAACUGUCCCUAUAAAAGGGGAGUCUUUGUAAUAUUGAACUCAUGAGUACUGGGUGACAGGCAGUGUAUUUAGAUUAGGUUUUUG